Molecule: ribosomal RNA, 397 nt
Filed under: uncultured bacterium
Lineage: Bacteria
Description: bacterial SSU rRNA
Rfam family: Bacterial small subunit ribosomal RNA
Source: RNAcentral
GACGAACGCUGGCGGCGUGCUUAACACAUGCAAGUCGAGCGGUAAGGCCCUUUCAGGGGUACACGAGCGGCGAACGGGUGAGUAACACGUGGGUGACCUGCCCUCAGCUCUGGGAUAAGCCUGGGAAACCGGGUCUAAUACUGGAUAUGACUCCAUGACGCAUGUUGUGGGGUGGAAAGCCUUGUGCGGCUGAGGAUGGGCCCGCGGCCUAUCAGCUUGUUGGUGGGGUGAUGGCCUACCAAGGCGACGACGGGUAGCCGGCCUGAGAGGGCGACCGGCCACACUGGGACUGAGACACGGCCCAGACUCCUACGGGAGGCAGCAGUGGGGAAUCUUGCGCAAUGGGCGAAAGCCUGACGCAGCGACGCCGCGUGAGGGAUGACGGCCUGGUGUAACU